This 405-nucleotide RNase P RNA is filed under the name Thalassococcus sp. S3. RNAcentral's name for it is "Bacterial RNase P class A". It matches the Rfam family "Bacterial RNase P class A". Rfam says of the family: Ribonuclease P (RNase P) is a ubiquitous endoribonuclease, found in archaea, bacteria and eukarya as well as chloroplasts and mitochondria. Its best characterised activity is the generation of mature 5'-ends of tRNAs by cleaving the 5'-leader elements of precursor-tRNAs. Cellular RNase Ps are ribonucleoproteins. Lineage: Bacteria; Pseudomonadati; Pseudomonadota; Alphaproteobacteria; Rhodobacterales; Roseobacteraceae. The record is from Rfam by way of RNAcentral.
GUGGAGAGCUGGAUGGCCGCUUUGGCGGGGAUGACCUGCCGGAGAGGAAAGUCCGGACUCCCUGAAGCAACGGUGCCGGGUAACGCCCGGGCGGGGCAACCCGACGGACAGCGCCACAGAAAUCAGACCGCCACGCUUGCGUGGCAAGGGUGAAACGGUGGGGUAAGAGCCCACCGCGCCCCUGGCAACAGGGGCGGCACGGCAAGCCCCACCGGGAGCAAUGCCAAAUAGGAUCCCCGCGCGGGCCCGGUCGGCGCAAGCCGAGACCGCCGCAGGCCGCUUCAGCCGGGGGGAUCGGGUUGGCAGCUAAAGGCGUCUGGCAACAGCCGCCUGAGAGGAAUGGUCAUCCAUUCGCGACCCAAGGGUCACGGAGGACAGAAUCCGGCUUACAGGCUCUCCACGCGC